RNAcentral lists this ribosomal RNA (232 nucleotides) under uncultured bacterium. Its description in RNAcentral is "partial 16S ribosomal RNA". It matches the Rfam family "Bacterial small subunit ribosomal RNA", at positions 118 to 347 of the family's 1533-position model. The record is from RNAcentral.
UGAGUAACCUGCCCUUCACUCUGGGAUAACUCCGGGAAACCGGGGCUAAUACUGGAUAUGACUCGAACAGGCAUCUGUUUCGGGUGGAAAGAUUUAUUGGUGGAGGAUGGACUCGCGGCCUAUCAGCUUGUUGGUGAGGUAAUGGCUCACCAAGGCGACGACGGGUAGCCGGCCUGAGAGGGUGAUCGGCCACAUUGGAACUGAGACACGGUCCAGACUCCGUACGGGAGCA